GACCAUUUAGCCAAGUUGGUUAAGGCGAUUGAUUAGAAAUCAAUUGGGCUUCGCCCGCGUAGGUUCGAAUCCUGCAGUGGUCG
This 83-nucleotide transfer RNA is filed under the name Serendipita indica DSM 11827. Its description in RNAcentral is "Piriformospora indica DSM 11827 tRNA". It matches the Rfam family "tRNA". Rfam says of the family: Transfer RNA (tRNA) molecules are approximately 80 nucleotides in length. Their secondary structure includes four short double-helical elements and three loops (D, anti-codon, and T loops). Lineage: Eukaryota; Fungi; Basidiomycota; Agaricomycetes; Sebacinales; Serendipitaceae. The record is from Rfam by way of RNAcentral.